Molecule: ribosomal RNA, 119 nt
Filed under: Pteropus alecto (black flying fox)
Lineage: Eukaryota; Metazoa; Chordata; Mammalia; Chiroptera; Pteropodidae
Source: RNAcentral
GUCUAUGGCCAUGCCACCCUGAAUAAGCCUGAUCCCAUCUGAUCUCGGAAGCUAAGCAGGGUCGGGCCUGGUUAGUACUUGGAUGGGAGACCACCUAGGAAGACCAGGUGCUGUAGGCA